CCUACGGGCGGCAGCAGUAGGGAAUCUUUCACAAUGGGCGAAAGCCUGAUGGAGCAACGCCGCGUGCAGGAUGAAGGCCUUCGGGUUGUAAACUGCUUUUAUAAGCGAGAAAUAUGAUGGUAACUUAUGAAUAAGGAUCGGCUAACUACGUGCCAGCAGCCGCGGUCAUACGUAGGAUCCGAGCAUUAUCCGGAGUGACUGGGUGUAAAGAGUUGCGUAGGUGGGAUAAUAAGUAGCUAGUGAAAUCUGGUGGCGCAAACAUUCAGACUAUUAGCUAAACUGUUAAGCUCGAGACCGUUAGGGGUAACUGGAAUUUCUGGUGUAGGAGUGAAAUCCGUAGAUAUUAGAAAGAACACCGAUAGCGUAGGCAGGUUGCUGGGACGGGUCUGACACUAAGGCACGAAAGCGUAGGGAGCAAACGGGAUUAGAUACCCGUGUAGUC
Molecule: ribosomal RNA, 442 nt
Filed under: uncultured bacterium
Lineage: Bacteria
Description: partial 16S ribosomal RNA
Rfam family: Bacterial small subunit ribosomal RNA
Source: RNAcentral